GCCCACGUGGUGAAAUGGCAGACACACGGGACUUAAAAUCCCGAGGAGCUCAAACUCCGUGCCGGUUCGAGUCCGGCCGUGGGCA
This 85-nucleotide transfer RNA is filed under the name Verrucomicrobium sp. RNAcentral describes it as "tRNA-Leu". It matches the Rfam family "tRNA". Rfam says of the family: Transfer RNA (tRNA) molecules are approximately 80 nucleotides in length. Lineage: Bacteria; Pseudomonadati; Verrucomicrobiota; Verrucomicrobiia; Verrucomicrobiales; Verrucomicrobiaceae. The record is from RNAcentral.